ACUAAAGCAGAGUUCAAUAUACUUUGAGCUUGGUAUCCCUCCUCGAGUACAUAUAUCCUGCCAUGUCCUCAACUUUUUGUGAAUCUAUUUCGUAGUUUUGAUUUCCAUUUGACUGCUCAUUUUUUUUUAUGUUGAUUGCACAUUUGGCAAAAACUGAAAUCCUUAAUAUAGUGAGAUAGAUUUUUUAAUGGAUUUUUCUUUUUAAAUCUGUUUGCAUAGGUUACCUUAACUUUCAAAAUGCAAUCGUUCAUCUUUCAGGUGACGAUUCGUGAGCGGGUUACCUUAACAUUUAUAAGUUGUGUUACAGUAUCAUGUUAUAUCAUGACGAUUCAAUCGUGUUCUUUGUUUCAGGGAGCUCAAUCUGAGAAAGGUGUUUCUUCGAUAUUAUCAACUUGACUUGUCUAAGCUCAUCUUCCGAAGCAUCAAAUAAUGCACGUCAAGUGCUUGAUAGCAUUCUACAAAUAAUGCACGUUAAGUGCUUGAUAACAUUCUACUUGUCGUGUUGGUUGUAAAAGGUGAGGAUAAAUGAGAAGCUAAACCAGUUGCGAGAGAUAUGAAGAUGUGUAAGUCUGAAUGAGCAAGAAACCGACGCACUUUCCAGAGUAGGUAGUUGCAAGUUCUGACUUCCGAGUAGGGGAGCUUAAUUCAUCUUUUGCUCACUUUUGAUGAAUUUUGAUGCUGUUUUGUGUCCAUUAGCUUAGUCUGCAUGAUUGUUGGGAAGCAUCGUUACUUCUCGCGUGCUUAAACAUAAGUCGUAACAGAAUUUGAAGCUUUACUGCACCUAAGCCUUUGAACAUAAGUCAUGAUAGAGUUUGAUGCUUUACCGCAACCGAGCCUUUGAGACUGUUAUAAUGCCUCUAAGAACUCAAGAUUUUGAUCAUUCUUUUUUGUAAU
Molecule: long non-coding RNA, 894 nt
Organism: Papaver somniferum (opium poppy)
Lineage: Eukaryota; Viridiplantae; Streptophyta; Magnoliopsida; Ranunculales; Papaveraceae
Exons: 3
Source: RefSeq, a predicted model, not a curated record